RNAcentral lists this transfer-messenger RNA (391 nucleotides) under Succinivibrionaceae. Its description in RNAcentral is "HGM20899 sp900767005 Standard tmRNA". It matches the Rfam family "transfer-messenger RNA". From Rfam's summary of the family: Bacterial tmRNA, also known as 10Sa RNA or SsrA, is named for its dual tRNA and mRNA-like properties. Its role is to liberate the mRNA from a stalled ribosome. RNAcentral also lists the same sequence under 3 other names. The record is from RNAcentral. Lineage: Bacteria; Pseudomonadati; Pseudomonadota; Gammaproteobacteria; Aeromonadales.
GGGGAUGAUUAGGAUUCGACCGGAAGAGUGAAGUCAAUAUUGCAUGUAGAGGUGAGGGUGGCCUCUUAAAAAACUCUCAAAAAGAUAAUCGCAAACGAUGAAUCUUACGCUUUAGCUGCUUAAUAAGUAAGCGAAGCACAAAUGUAACAGCAGCUUAAAAACCUGUGUGUUACCCUGGACCUAAGUUUGCCAAUAGGUUUAGUAAUCCGGGUCACUUAUAUUGGAUCGAGCAAAGCCUUAGUUGGUGGUGUAGCUUUAAACUUAAUCAACCUGGUCUUAUUAUAGUGUGUCAGUCCACGAUAUUAAGGCGAGAUUAAAAGACAUGACUAAACAUGUAGUAAUAGAGAGGGAGCCUUUUGGGACGCGGGUUCAAAUCCCGCCAUCUCCACCA